AACCCUGCCUGGCGUUGACACCACCGUGACAUCCGUGCUACAUCUCUAAUCCCCAUAGGGUGCCCACCCUUCCUGCCAGCAGCAUCUACCCGCUCUUGCAGAUGGCCGAACAUCAGAGGGCCGCCUGCCCUGGUCUCUGCUCCAGGGCCUGGCUUCCUCUGCCCGUUGCAUAAGGAGCUCAACGCGGCUGACCUGCGGCGACUGCUGGCCGGCGCCACGGUCUGCUGCUCGGAAUGCAGGCCAGGGCAGGCGGGUGAGCAGCUGCCCCAUUCUUCAGAAAGAAAAAAAGGGCUGUUCUGGGCACAAAGUAGAACGCUGCCUAAACACGGGCAUGUAAAGAAGCAUGUCAAAUUCCAGAGACUGCACUCUGUGGCUUAGGUGAAUAAAUCCCAGUGAAGUCAUAUUUUAAGCACCUAAGCCCCUUUAUGGAUCUGAGCCCAAACUUGAGGGCAAACUUGACUGGUGUCACUAAAAGCACAGCCCAAGUUUUCAGCAGCAGGAUCAGCCUCUUGCUGCAAAACAAAAUUCUUACUCGAUCCUUAAUUACAUUAGCAAAUCUGUACCUCUAGUAUAGUGAUAAUAGACUGCCUAAAAAAGGCCUCUCCUUACCUCACAUUUGCUUGUUUUUAAGGUUUAUUUUUCAGACUUUAAAUAACUGUUUAAUAGGCUAAAGCCUUUUUUCUUCAGCAAAAUAAAUCUUAAUAACUUGAUAUGUAUUAUUUUUUUUUACAUUUUGGAGGCCACUCUAAUCCCUGCCAAUCAUAGGUUUGGGCAAUUUCUCCAGGUUAAAGCCUUCUCUCAUGCUGUCUGAAUCUACCUCACCAUCCAUCAGUGCAUGUGGUUCCCUGCAUACCUUUACCUAAGGAAGGAAAAUGAAAUGACAGGUAACAAUUGGACUAUGGACUUGAUUCCAGAAAGAAGCCCACAAAUGCCCAGUUUUACAGGUUUUAAAACUCAUGCAGAGAAAUUUUGCAGAUUCCACUUCCUUCUCUUCCCUCCAUGGAGGCAUGGGGAAGAAUCUUAAAUUAUCCUGCUACAGACCUGCCUGGUCUUCACAGAAUUAGCCCUGGGUAGUAGCUUCAGAUGCAGACGAGGGUCUGAACAGUCUGGAUCAGAGCUGGGAGCCAGAGGCCCCCUGUCCUGUCCUGUCCAGCCACUUCCCCAGCAAUGCAGCAGUACAGCGCAAAUGCCCCGCCAAGGACGCGCAGCUUCUUGGAAGAAGAAAAUAGUAAUAAUCUACAGCAAGUCAGUGUAGCAGUUCAUCGAUCAAGGCUCGGUAGCCGUUCUCCUGCAGCUCUGCUCGGCAGUUACCAACAGAUGGCAGUACGGCACUGGGGAUUCGGUAUCUCAUUUGCCAAGUUCUCAGAGGAAAUCAUUGCACCAGCCUGGUUUGCAGGUCUGUGAUCAGCCAUCCUUGUCUCUUGUUUUUGUAAAGGUGAGCCCAUCAGUUAGGUAAAAUAUGGUUCCACUCGAAACAAUGGGAAAUUAAUGUUGAUGUUAGCAGAAUUAUGUCAGUUCCCAUAACUAUUACUUUUUCAGGUAAUUGUUGUAUUUAUUAUACUCUGUAUUACCAUUAAAUAUUAUUUUUAUAAUUAUGUGUAAUUACAUAAAUAUUACACAUUGUACUUAUUUUGCACAUAUACCAUACAAUAGAGAGGAAAGGUCUUAAAGCAUACUAUUUAGGGAAAAUGGUAUGUAUUUCCAUAUUAAAAAUACUUUAACAAUGGAAAUGGUUUAAUACAGACAUUUAAGUUACUUUGUUUUCUAGAAAAAUACAUUUUUUGGAGUCAUAGGGUCUGAUCUACUCUUGCUAAGUCUAAUACAAGAUUGCUGCUCAUACUAAAAGCUGCAGAACCAAGCUCUUAGAAUAUAUUCUUUUAAAACAUGGUUACUACUUUAAAUGUUCAUAAUUGCUGCAGUGAAUUGCAUAUGUAUCUGAUGACUAGGAGUUUUCAGUAUCAAGUAAGAAGUGACUUUAACACUUUUGGUCAUGUGUGUUAUUAAUUCAAAGUUCUAGCAAAUUCUCUGUAUAUGAUUUUUUAAUUGUAAAUCAAGUCCUGAAUGGGAAGCAAAGACAGCUUUAAAGUAGCAUUCACAUGGAAGUUUUGGCAGCUGACCCACUGAAGUGGAGUUUUGAGACUUGUGCUUUGCACUGCUAUCAUUUCUGCCACUAGUUUCCUUCCUCCCCUCUUAGUGAGGCUCCUGCUGGGAAUGUAACACACAUCACUGGAAUAGGCAGUGAUGUGCCAGCCUGCAUCUGCUACAAAGCAGCCUAAAAAUAAAUCCCAAUUGGACAAUGCCAUUUGGUGUAGAGCAGCACAUAGUCUAAUAAUGUAAACCAGGCUGUCAGCAAAGAUAAAUGAUUGUUCAGCUACAUGCAAAACAAA
This is a long non-coding RNA of Pezoporus occidentalis (night parrot), 2387 nucleotides long. RefSeq lists it as uncharacterized. Lineage: Eukaryota; Metazoa; Chordata; Aves; Psittaciformes; Psittacidae. The record is from RefSeq and is a predicted model, not a curated record. The transcript is spliced from 3 exons.